GUAAAACAAGUCUUUUGUAGUUUAUAAAAAAUACUAAAUUUUCACUUUAGUGAUGAUAUUCAUCCAAAAGUUC
RNAcentral lists this transfer RNA (73 nucleotides) under Melanastera paucipunctata. Its description in RNAcentral is "Diclidophlebia paucipunctata tRNA-Glu". Lineage: Eukaryota; Metazoa; Arthropoda; Insecta; Hemiptera; Liviidae. The record is from RNAcentral.